UACAGAAACACGCGUGUCAAUUAGGCAAGGAAAAGGAGGAAAAGAUCGAGAUAACGAUGACACUUAAGAAAAGUUACAGACGCAAAAUCCGUAAAUUCACCUUCAGGAAUUUGAAGAUUUAUGUACGUGUACGUCCUCUGACAUGGAACAAUGAUCUUAUAAUAACUACCAGUUCAAGUGGAAGGAUAGUGGAAAUAAAGAA
Magallana angulata is the source of this 202-nucleotide long non-coding RNA. RefSeq lists it as uncharacterized. Lineage: Eukaryota; Metazoa; Mollusca; Bivalvia; Ostreida; Ostreidae. The transcript has 3 exons. The record is from RefSeq and is a predicted model, not a curated record.